RNAcentral lists this ribosomal RNA (699 nucleotides) under uncultured bacterium. RNAcentral's name for it is "bacterial SSU rRNA". It matches the Rfam family "Bacterial small subunit ribosomal RNA", at positions 8 to 705 of the family's 1533-position model. The record is from RNAcentral.
AAGAGUUUGAUCCUGGCUCAGAACGAACGCUAGCGGCAUGCUUAACACAUGCAAGUCGAGCGUAAGUUAAUACUUGGUAACAACUAUUAAUGAAAGCGGCGAACGGGUGAGUAACGCGUGGAUUACGUGCCUCUAGGUUUGGAAUAACUUGUUGAAAGACCAGCUAAUACCAAAUAUUUCCAUAAAAUCAUAUGGGGAAAGCAAAAAAGUGCCUAUUGAGCGGUCUGCGUUCUAUCAGCUUGUUGGUGAGGUAAAGGCUCACCAAGGCUAUGACGGAUAACUGGUUUGAGAGGAUGAUCAGUCACACUGGGACUGAGACACGGCCCAGACUCCUAUGGGAGGCAGCAGUGAGGAAUAUUGGUCAAUGGGCGAAAGCCUGAACCAGCAAUGUCGCGUGGGUGAUGAAGGCCUUUGGGUUGUAAAACUCUGUCAGAAAGGAAGAAGAGUCAUAUUAUUAUGAUUUUGACGGUACUUUCAAAGGAAGCACCGGCUAACUCUGUGCCAGCAGCCGCGGUAAUACAGAGGGUGCAAGUGUUGUUCGGAAUAGCUGGGCGUAAAGAGCAUGUAGGCGGAAUUAUUAGUCAAAAGUGAAAUCCCUUGGCUCAACCAAGGAACUGCAUUUGAUACUGUUUUUCUAGAGUACCGGAGGGGGUGGCGGAAUUUUCGGUGUAGAGGUAAAAUUCGUAGAUAUCGAAAAGA